Molecule: ribosomal RNA, 110 nt
Filed under: Candidatus Nealsoniibacteriota bacterium
Lineage: Bacteria; Candidatus Nealsoniibacteriota
Source: RNAcentral
GGUGGCGGUUAUACUGGAGUUGUUCCACCUGUUCCCAUUCCGAACACAGAAGUGAAAUACUCUAAGGCCCAUGAUAGUGGUAUUCCCGCGAAAGUAGGUAGCCGCCACCA